UACGAAGGGUGCUAGCGUUGUUCGGAAUCACUGGGCGUAAAGAGUACGUAGGCGGUUGAGUAAGUCGAUUGUGAAAGCCCCAAGCUCAACUUGGGAAUUGCAAUCGAAACUGCUCAGCUAGAGUAUGGUGGGGGAUAGUGGAAUUUCUAGUGUAGGGGUGAAAUCCGUAGAUAUUAGAAGGAAUACCGGUGGCGAAAGCGACUAUCUAUGCCAUUACUGACGCUGAGGUACGAAAGCGUGGGGAGCAAACAGG
Molecule: ribosomal RNA, 253 nt
Filed under: uncultured bacterium
Lineage: Bacteria
Description: partial 16S ribosomal RNA
Rfam family: Bacterial small subunit ribosomal RNA
Source: RNAcentral